GAAGUAGGUCCCAAGGGUAUGGCUGUUCGCCAUUUAAAGUGGUACGCGAGCUGGGUUUAGAACGUCGUGAGACAGUUCGGUCCCUAUCUGCCGUGGGCGCUGGAGAAUUGAGGGGGGCUGCUCCUAGUACGAGAGGACCGGAGUGGACGCAUCACUGGUGUUCGGGUUGUCAUGCCAAUGGCACUGCCCGGUAGCUAAAUGCGGAAGAGAUAAGUGCUGAAAGCAUCUAAGCACGAAACUUGCCCCGAGAUGAGUUCUCCCUGAGACUUUAAGUCUCCUGAAGGAACGUUGAAGACGACGACGUUGAUAGGCCGGGUGUGUAAGCGCAGCGAUGCGUUGAGCUAACCGGUACUAAUGAACCGUGAGGCUUAACCUUACAACGCCGAAG
This 388-nucleotide ribosomal RNA is filed under the name Klebsiella pneumoniae subsp. pneumoniae. RNAcentral's name for it is "bacterial LSU rRNA". It matches the Rfam family "Bacterial large subunit ribosomal RNA", at positions 2555 to 2925 of the family's 2925-position model. The record is from RNAcentral. Lineage: Bacteria; Pseudomonadati; Pseudomonadota; Gammaproteobacteria; Enterobacterales; Enterobacteriaceae.